AUGCUGCAGACACGGCCUGCGAUCUUUAAUCCCAUACUGUGUGGAGCACGCCUCUUGCAGCAAUGGGCCGUCGACAUGUACGUCAAGAUUGAAAGUUGUCGGUUAAGGUGGUACAGGAAGAACCAGACGCAGAUUUGUGUCGACUUGUAUAAAGGAGUUGUUGAUGCGAUCACACCGGGGGAGACACGAGCAAGCGUUGUUGGGGUAAGAAUAGUUCUCCCUGGAACAUACCCUGGUGGCGACCGCGACAUGAAGAAGAGGCAUAUGGAUGCCAUGGCAAUUGUACAUACAUACGGGAAGCCUGACAUCUUCUUGACCAUGACUUGCAAUCCAAAAUGGGAAGAGAUAACGAAUGAGUUGCUGCCUGGUCAGACGGCGCAAGACCGACCUGAUAUUGUGGCUCGCGUGUUCUUUGGCAAACUAGAGGCUAUGAAGGACAUGUUGUUCAAGAAGCACAUCCUGGGUGUUGUUGUCGCAUAUGUAUAUGUUGUCGAGUUUCAAAAAAGGGGCCUCCCACACGCACAUUUUCUGUUGAUCAUGGACUCAACAUAUAAGCUUAUCAUCCCCGAGCAGUAUGACCGACUCAUUUCCGCAGAGCUCCCAGACAAGCAUAAGUAUCUGGAAUUGUAUGCAAUGGUAGUAAAACAUAUGAUGCACGGACCAUGCGGUGCUCUAAACCCGAAGAAUGUUUGCAUGCAAGAAAACGGAUGCAAGUGCAGAUACCCGCGGUCGUUCAAUGAAAACACAGCACAGGGGAAGGACUCGUACCCAGUUUAUCGACGUAGAGACGAUGGUAGGCAUGCUAAGGUCCGAGGGAAGAUGUUGGACAACAGAUGGGUUGUGCCUUAUAACCCAUACCUUCUGCGGAUGUUCAAUUGCCACAUCAACGUUGAGGUCUCCUCGAGCAUAAAGGCCGUCAAAUAUCUUUACAAGUACAUUUACAAGGGCCAUGAUAAGGCUUCUUUCAGCAUCGACCAGCCCGACGCCGAUGGUAACAUUGAUGAGAUCAAGAGAUACGUUGACGCAAGGUGGAUCACCCCUCCGGAGGCUAUGUGGAGGAUAUUUGGCUUUCCACUUUGCGCCAACUACCCUCCUGUCUUGCAGUUGCCUCUUCAUCUCCCGAAUAUGCACAGGGUCGCAUUCAAUGCCCAGGCUGACUUGAAAAAUGUUGUCGCCUCAGAAAAUAUUUCAAAAUCCAUGUUAACGGAGUAUUUCAAGGCUAACCAGGAACACCCUCGGGCUAGAAAUAUAUUGUACAAGGAUUUUCCCGGAAGCUUCACGUGGCAGAAGAAAAAGAAGUUUUGGAAGCCGCGGGUCGAGCGUUUUCAAAUAGGUCGCAUCGUGUCUGCCAAUCCUGCCGAGGGGGACCGAUACUAUAUGCGUGUGUUGCUAAACCAUGUUACGGGCAAAACAUCCUUUGACGACUUGCUCACCGUGGACGGCGUGCUAUGUGGGAGCUUUAGAGAGGCUGCUGAAAGGUUGGGACUCAUCGAGGCAGACAACACGCUCGAUGACUGUCUUACUGAGGCUGAGCAGUGGGCGAUGCCAUGUUCUCUUAGGAGGCUCUUCGCAACCAUCUUGGUGCACUGCGAGCCAGGCGACGUGCGUGGUUUAUGGGAUAGGCACCUCGAGCCUAUGUCAGAUGACUAUCGUCGAUCACGCACGUCCCCUGACGAGGUGGAGCAGAUGGUGUUGCUAGACAUUAGGGGUAUGUUGCAGUCCAUGGGUAAAGAUAUUGUUGAUUUCACUCUUCCGAGCAUAGAUGAUGCGUUUGACCCAACCGAGGGCGAGGCAAGAGAGGUCAUCGAGGAAACAACCGUUGAGUUUGACAUGGAUGACACUAAGUUGGUAUCUUCGCUGAACUUGGAGCAAAGGGCCGCAUACGACGAGAUACUAACGGCUGUUGAACGCGGUGAUGGGAGUGUAUUCUUUGUUGAUGGCCCUGGAGGUACAUGGAAGACCUUCCUAUACAGGGCGAUGCUUGCCAAGGUGAGGAGCCAAGGCAAGAUUGGUAUCGCUACCGCGACGUCGGGCGUCGCCGCUUCUAUCAUGCCUGGCGGCAGGACUGCCCACUCGAGGUUCAAGAUCCCAUUGAGUUGCGAUGAUGGAGCCUCGUGCAGCUUCACCAAGCAGAGUGGGACCGCCAAGCUCCUAAGGAUGGCCUCAUUGAUAAUAUGGGACGAGGCCAGCAUGACGAAGCGACAAGCGGUAGAGGCAUUGGACAACAGCAUGCGCGACAUCAUGGGAAUACGUGACCGACCCUUUGGAGGAAAGACUGUUGUUUUUGGUGGGGACUUUCGGCAGGUGCUUCCGGUCGUCAGAAGGGGGUCGCGGGGCCAGAUAAUUGAUGCAACCCUCCGAAGUUCUCAUCUGUGGAAGUGUAUGCGGCAGCUUCGGCUCAUAAUGACACGUGGUUUGCAGAUUACUUGCUAA
Molecule: ribosomal RNA, 2433 nt
Filed under: Triticum aestivum (bread wheat)
Lineage: Eukaryota; Viridiplantae; Streptophyta; Magnoliopsida; Poales; Poaceae
Description: partial small subunit ribosomal RNA
Source: RNAcentral